GAAAUGCGAUAAGUAGUGUGAAUUGCAGAAUUCAGUGAAUCAUCGAAUCUUUGAACGCACAUUGCGCCCCUUGGUAUUCCAUGGGGCAUGCCUGUUCGAGCGUCAUUUGUACCUUCAAGCUUUGCUUGGUGUUGGGUGUUUGUCUCGCCUCUGCGCGUAGACUCGCCUCAAAACAAUUGGCAGCCGGCGUAUUGAUUUCGGAGCGCAGUACAUCUCGCGCUUUGCACUCAUAACGACGACGUCCAAAAAGUACAUUUUUUACACUCUUGACCUCGGAUCAGGUAGGGAUACCCGCUGAACUUAAGC
RNAcentral lists this unclassified non-coding RNA (306 nucleotides) under plant metagenome. RNAcentral's name for it is "partial contains 5.8S ribosomal RNA, internal transcribed spacer 2, and large subunit ribosomal RNA". The stretch from base 1 to 105 matches the Rfam family "5.8S ribosomal RNA", at positions 50 to 154 of the family's 154-position model. The record is from RNAcentral.